Long non-coding RNA from Scomber scombrus (Atlantic mackerel), 150 nucleotides. RefSeq lists it as uncharacterized. Lineage: Eukaryota; Metazoa; Chordata; Actinopteri; Scombriformes; Scombridae. The record is from RefSeq and is a predicted model, not a curated record. The transcript has 3 exons.
UGGGACCAGUCUGCUCCAUCAGGAGACUCCUCCUGUCCCCAGUGUGCAGAAAGAUCCAGAACCAGACCUGGACUGCAGACAGACAGUCAGACCAGCACUGUACAAACAGACAGACACAACAAACAGAGAGCCAAGAUGACAGAGGCGGAC